GACAAACGCUGGCGGCAUGCCUAACACAUGCAAGUCGAACGGACAGAACAGGGAAGCUUUUCGGAGUGGAACUGGAAAGUUAGUGGCGGAUGGGCGAGUAACGCGUGGACAACCUACCUUGUAAAGGGGAAUAACCUCGAGAAAUCGAAGCUAAUACCCCAUAAUAACCUUGCUUCGCAUGAAGUAAGGAGGAAAGGCGGCCUUAGCGCUGUCGAUACAAGAUGGGUCCGCGUCUGAUUAGCUAGUUGGUGAGGUAAAGGCUCACCAAGGCGACGAUCAGUAGCCGGCCUGAGAGGGUGAACGGCCACAUUGGGACUGAGACACGGCCCAAACUCCUACGGGAGGCAGCAGUGGGGAAUCUUCCGCAAUGGGCGAAAGCCUGACGGAGCAAUGCCGCGUGAGUGAAGAAGGCCUUCGGGUUGUAAAACUCUGUCCUUAUCGAAGAGAGAGUGUUGUAGUAACUGACAAUACUAGGACGGUAGAUGAGGAGGAAGCCCCGGCUAACUAUGUG
Molecule: ribosomal RNA, 511 nt
Filed under: uncultured bacterium
Lineage: Bacteria
Description: partial 16S ribosomal RNA
Rfam family: Bacterial small subunit ribosomal RNA
Source: RNAcentral